RNAcentral lists this ribosomal RNA (590 nucleotides) under uncultured bacterium. RNAcentral's name for it is "partial 16S ribosomal RNA". It matches the Rfam family "Bacterial small subunit ribosomal RNA", at positions 355 to 1375 of the family's 1533-position model. The record is from RNAcentral.
UGGGGAAUAUUGCACAAUGGGCGCAAGCCUGAUGCAGCCAUGCCGCGUGUGUGAAGAAGGCCUUCGGGUUGUAAAGCACUUUCAGCGAGGAGGAAGGUGGUGAGCUUAAUACGCUCAUCAAUUGACGUUACUCGCAGAAGAAGCACCGGCUAACUCCGUGCCAGCAGCCGCGGUAAUACGGAGGGUGUAAGCGUUAAUCGGAAUUACUGGGCGUAAAGCGCACGCAGGCGGUUUGUUAAGUCAGAUGUGAAAUCCCCGGGCUCAACCUGGGAACUGCAUUUGAAACUGGCAAGCUAGAGUCUCGUAGAGGGGGGUAGAAUUCCAGGUGUAGCGGUGAAAUGCGUAGAGAUCUGGAGGAAUACCGGUGGCGAAGGCGGCCCCCUGGACGAAGACUGACGCUCAGGUGCGAAAAGCGUGGGGCAGCAAACAGGAUUAGAUACCCUGGUAGUCCAGCGCUGUAAAACGAUGUCGAUUUGGAGGUUGUGCCCUUGAGGCGUGGCUUCCGGAGCUAACGCGUUAAAUCGACCGCCUGGGGAGUACGGCCGCAAGGUUAAAACUCAAAGGAAUUGACGGGGUCAUAGCUGUUUCCU